UACGUAGGGUGCAAGCGUUAAUCGGAAUUACUGGGCGUAAAGCGUGCGCAGGCGGUUUGUUAAGACGGAUGUGAAAUCCCCGGGCUCAACCUGGGAACUGCAUUCGUGACUGGCAAGCUAGAGUAUGGCAGAGGGGGGUGGAAUUCCACGUGUAGCAGUGAAAUGCGUAGAGAUGUGGAGGAACACCGAUGGCGAAGGCAGCCCCCUGGGCCAAUACUGACGCUCAUGCACGAAAGCGUGGGGAGCAAACAGG
RNAcentral lists this ribosomal RNA (253 nucleotides) under uncultured bacterium. RNAcentral describes it as "partial 16S ribosomal RNA". It matches the Rfam family "Bacterial small subunit ribosomal RNA", at positions 524 to 776 of the family's 1533-position model. The record is from RNAcentral.